UUAGUAAUUUAAAAUUAAUAUAGGUAAUACUAUUUGUUGGGGACGACAAUAAAUAAUAAAAACUUUUAAUUUUAAAAUUUUUAAAAUUAUGUUCUGAUCCUUAAAAGAUCAUAAGAAAAAUUACCUUAGGGAUAACAGCGUAAUCUUUUUUGAGAGUUCUAAUCGACAAAAAGGUUUGCGACCUCGAUGUUGGACUAAAAUUUAGGCAAGGUGCAGCUGCUUUGUUUUAAGGUCUGUUCGACCUAUAAUAUUUACACGAUCUGAGUUCAGACCGG
Molecule: ribosomal RNA, 275 nt
Filed under: Pyrgopsella sp. SMB-2011
Lineage: Eukaryota; Metazoa; Arthropoda; Thecostraca; Balanomorpha; Pyrgomatidae
Description: partial 16S ribosomal RNA
Rfam family: Bacterial large subunit ribosomal RNA (bases 131-275)
Source: RNAcentral